GGAAGUAAAAGUCGCAACAAGGUUUCCGUAGGUGAACCUGCGGAAGGAUCAUUAAUGAGUUGUCAUGGGGUUCGAUGCUGGCAGCCAGUUUUUGGAUGCAUGUGCUUGCCCUAACAAUCAUCUUCUUCCAAACACCUGUGCACAUUUUUGAGGGAGUCUUGAGUUGGUUGCCGCUCUUGGGUGAUUUUCUCACAUUCCCUUAAAUCAUUAUACGCUAUUAACAAUGUUGAACGUGCUCUGUGCCGCAAGGCCAUUAAUAUAAUACAACUUUUAACAACGGAUCUCUUGGCUCUC
Molecule: unclassified non-coding RNA, 294 nt
Filed under: plant metagenome
Description: partial contains small subunit ribosomal RNA, internal transcribed spacer 1, and 5.8S ribosomal RNA
Rfam family: Eukaryotic small subunit ribosomal RNA (bases 1-54)
Source: RNAcentral